AUUGAACGCUGGCGGCAGGCCUAACACAUGCAAGUCGAACGAGUGGCGGACGGGUGAGUAAUGUCUGGGAAACUGCCUGAUGGAGGGGGAUAACUACUGGAAACGGUAGCUACUACUGCAUACCUUCGGUUUUGCCUAGACGGGCUUAGCUAGUAGGUGGGGUAACGGCUCACCUAGGCGACGAUCCCUAGCCGGUCUGAGGGGAUGACUAGCCACACUGGAACUGAGACACGGACAAGACUCCUACGGGAGGCAGCAGUGGGGAAUAUUGCACAAUGGGCGCAAACCUGAUGCGGCCAUGCCGCGUGUAUGAAGAAGGCCUUCGGGUUGUAAAGUACUUUCAGCGGGGAGGCGUUACCCGCAGAAGAAGCACCGGCUAACUCCGUGCCAGCAGCCGCGGUAAUUC
RNAcentral lists this ribosomal RNA (406 nucleotides) under uncultured bacterium. RNAcentral's name for it is "partial 16S ribosomal RNA". It matches the Rfam family "Bacterial small subunit ribosomal RNA", at positions 30 to 526 of the family's 1533-position model. The record is from RNAcentral.